CUUUGGCGCCUAAUCCCCUCACUCCAGUUUCGUCUUCCUCUAUCCAUCUCCUCCGAAAUCUCCAUUCACCCUUCGAAUCCUCAAAUCCUCCGCGUCUCGAGGAGUCCAGAUGCUUCUACUCCAGCCCCGCGCAGUCCCUGCGCCCGCUCUGCGAGAGAGGCCACCGCCACCUCGGCCCCGGCCUCGCCGGCGACUGGCGCCGCCUCCUCUCGCCGCGGCGUCCGGCUCCAUCGCCGUCAACUCCGAUGAGGAUGCCUUCACCAGGUGCUCCGGGUACCUGUUCGAGGAGGGCGCGGCCACCGAGUCGGAGCUCCCCAGCACGUACGACCUCCCUGGCAUCGCCGCCGUGUACCGCCGCCGCCCGCUCCUCGUACUCCGUCGCUCGCUGCAGAUCGGCACCUCCUUCGGCCGAUGGUUCGCGCUGCGCUACCUCGACCGCGUCAACGAGCGCGCCGACGACAUGUUCGAGCUUCGGGCGGCCCAGCUAAGGAGGAUAUUACUGGAACUUGGCCCAGUCUGUUUCAUUUCCCAAUGCCUGCUUGUUCAUGUGUGCGACUCCCUUAUGUGAUGAUCAUUAGCUUGUAUAUGAUGCUGCUCUUUUAAUCGCAGGCAUUUGUGAAGAUCGCGCAAGCAGUUUCUUCACGGCCGGUGAAUUUGACUAGUUGCUACAUUUUCACUUGACCUAUUGAAAUCGCAUGCUUGGAGUGCCUUAACUUUGACUUUAUAUGUGAUAAUUGCUUGUUUCAUUUCCUGCAGGAUAUUAUUCCGCCUGCAUACCUUGAUGAGCUGUCGCUACUUCAGGACCGCAUAGCACCAUUUUCAACCGAUGCUGCAUUUAACAUUAUAGAAAAAGAGCUUGGGCUACCACUGGAUAUGAUUUUCUCUGAGAUAUCACCUGAGCCUGUUGCUGCUGCAUCUCUUGGGCAGGCUAAACUUCGCUCCAAUGGGAAGGUCGUUGCUGUCAAAGUACAAAGACCUGGUGUUCAAGCAGCAAUUUCAUUGGACAUAUAUAUCUUGAGGUUCCUAGCUAGUCUUGCAAGGAAGGCUGCCAAGUUAAACACAGACCUCCCAGCUGUGCUUGACGAGUGGGCAUCAAGCCUAUUUCGGGUAAAUCACAUUUGAUGCAGGAGAUGGAUUAUAGAGAAGAAGCAAGAAAUGGACUUAAGUUCAGAGAGUUGUUUGGGAAAUUUAGAGAUGUCUCGGUUCCUGAAAUGUAUAUGGAGCAGACUAGAAGGCGAGUCCUUGUCAUGGAAUGGAUAGAGGGUGAAAAGUUGUCAGAAGUCAGAGAUCAAUAUUUGGUUGAGGUUGGAGUAUAUUGUUCGCUUUCCCAGCUAUUAGAAUAUGGAUUUUAUCAUGCAGAUCCACACCCCGGAAAUCUUUUGCGUACGGUUGAUGGGAAAUUAGCAUACUUGGAUUUUGGGAUGAUGGGUGAAUUCCGGCAAGAGCUUCGCGAUGGAUUUAUUGAAGCCUGUCUUCACCUUGUUAACCGUGAUUUUGAUGCUUUAGCAAAAGAUUUUAUCACUCUUGGUUUGCUUCCUCCAACUGCCCAGAAGGGUGAAGUCACAAAGGCAUUGACAGGUGUAUUUGAGAAUGCUGUUAACAGAGGAGUUCAGAAUAUAAGCUUUGGAGAUUUGUCAGGAAAUCUUGGACGAACAAUGUAUAAAUUCAAGUUCCAGAUACCUUCUUACUUUUCCCUUGUAAUUCGAAGGUAAUGACUAAUGAGUUCGUCCACAAUAUUUGAGCGAAGUGCUUCACUAACAGAGCUUGCAUACAGGCAGAUGCUAUUGAAUAUUUCUGAGGUGUCUGAUAUUUGUGUUUGUCAUAAAAGAGGUUUGCCGUGUGAUUUUUCAGCCUUGCUGUCUUGGAAGGUAUUGCAAUCAGCUUUAAUCCAAACUAUAAAGUGCUGGGCAGUUCGUACCCAUGGAUUGCAAGAAAAGUUCUCACUGACAAUUCACCAAAGCUCCGAUCAACUUUGCAGGCUCUUCUUUAUAAGGAUGGCACUUUCCAAAUUGAUCGUCUGGAGUCUUUGUUAUCUGAGUCACUUCGUGCCAGAACAGAGCAAUCAUUGGUCAGAAAUCAACAAGAAGAUGUUGAUAGUGCGAGAUAUGCAAUUAAGCAAGUCUUGUCAUUCACGCUCACGGACCAGGGUGCCUUUGUGAAGGAUUUACUUCUUCAGGAGAUUGCUAAGGUAGUACCCUGUUAAAGGCACAAUUAAACAUUGAGUUAGCUUGAUCAUCAUAAUAUUUGGAAAAUCCAAGGCAUCUUAAGAUUCUGUAUUCUAAAUAUUUUACGCCUAAGCAUUUAAGCAAACAGGUCGCAAAAAGGUUAAUUCAUUUUUUUAGUUUCUUUUUUAUUUUUGAAUUUGAAUUCAUUUUUAUCGCAAAAGUAAUAAGUCACUCCAACCGCUUAGGUUCCAUUUUCGACAUUCUACGCAUGCUGACAAGGAAGGUAUCAGAUAAUAUAUAUAGUAUGUUUUGAAAUUAGUAAAUUUGUUAGGGAAAUUUCUUAAAUGGUGACAGGCAUUCCUUGUUGUUCAUCUUUAUUGGUUUUCAAUAAAUUUCGAUUGACUUUUAGAAGAUAUCUUCUAGCAUUAUUCAUGUUGGCUUAAAGUGAGCUUGCAUACCUGUUUGAUAAGAGUACUUUCUGGCUAUGCGUUCUCAAGAAUUUAGUGUGCAGGGAAUAGAUGCACUUGGUGUAGCUACAUUAAGCUCAGCAACAUCUGCAGCAGCUUCCAGAUUGCCAUUUGCUGGUGGUCCAUCUCCAUUAACCUCACUAGAUGAUGAGGAUGUCACUAACUUGAGAAAUCUAUAUCGCCUGCUCCUACUUUUAUCUAAGGUUUCUCAGAAGGAAAAUUCAUCUCCGAUUCCUGGAAAUAACAGUGCCAUAGAGAAGGAAGGUGGUAGCACAGAUGAACUUUCUCUUGUGCUGUAUGAAAUAACAUCUCUGCCAGAAUUUUUGCCAGUUAUUUCCAUCAUUCCUGAGCUUCCACUGGAGUCCCAACAGCAGUUGCUUCUUCUGCCAACAGAUUUAGCAAGCCGUAUUUUAUCUCGGGCUGUUGCUAGAACCAUUAGAAGAAUGUUCAUAUAAAGCUGAAGGUACAAGUUUUCCAUCCCUGCUUCCUUAAAUGUUUCUUUAACUAUUAUUUUGGAAUCACUACUAGAAGACUAGGAGUUUUUCCCCCCUUGCAGUAGCAUCUAAUCUAGAAUCCAAGAUCAAACUGAUUUUUGUUAUGAAUGAUUUUGGGACACUUCUUUAUUAUAUGUACAUAUUUUUCAAACAAAACGAGGCCCUGUAAAAGGCCCUUUCUGUUAUGUCCAUAUGGUAUACUAAUGAAGUUUUGAGUUAAAUUUAUGUGUGAUAAAAAUAGAGUAAAAUGCACCAGAGGCCCAUCAACUUGUAGUCACUUAGGUCCGUAAACUCUAAAAGUGUAUUUCUGGGUGCAUAAACUUAUAAUUUGUAUCACUUAGAUCAGGCCCGUGAACUUGUAAUUUGUGUCCCAUAUAUCAUGCACUGAAUGGCAUGGAUUCAUGUUAUUUGAUUUUAUUUCACAAUCUAUAUGACAUAACGAAAUGGCAAUAGCAUGUUAACCUGA
RNA transcript from Panicum virgatum (switchgrass), 3592 nucleotides. RefSeq lists it as uncharacterized. NCBI's taxonomy places the organism in Eukaryota, Viridiplantae, Streptophyta, Magnoliopsida, Poales, Poaceae. The record is from RefSeq and is a predicted model, not a curated record. The transcript is spliced from 17 exons.